GGGUAUGUUAAUAGCAUAUUCAUUUGACGUUUAGCUGCAGAAGAAGCACCGGCUAACUCCGUGCCAGCAGCCGCGGUAAUACGGAGGGUGCGAGCGUUAAUCGGAAUUACUGGGCGUAAAGCGCAUGCAGGUGGUUUGUUAAGUCAGAUGUGAAAGCCCGGGGCUCAACCUCGGAAUUGCAUUUAGAAACUGGCAAACUAGAGUACUGUAGAGGGGGUAGAAUUUCAGGUGUAGCGGUGAAAUAGCGUAGAGAUCUGAAGGAAUACCGGUGGCGAAGGCGGCCCCCUGGACAGAUACUGACACUCAGAUGCGAAAGCGUGGGGAGCAAACAGGAUUAGAUACCCUGGUAG
This 350-nucleotide ribosomal RNA is filed under the name uncultured bacterium. RNAcentral's name for it is "bacterial SSU rRNA". It matches the Rfam family "Bacterial small subunit ribosomal RNA", at positions 446 to 793 of the family's 1533-position model. The record is from RNAcentral.